This 88-nucleotide transfer RNA is filed under the name Accumulibacter sp. RNAcentral's name for it is "tRNA-Ser". It matches the Rfam family "tRNA". Rfam says of the family: Transfer RNA (tRNA) molecules are approximately 80 nucleotides in length. Their secondary structure includes four short double-helical elements and three loops (D, anti-codon, and T loops). Lineage: Bacteria; Pseudomonadati; Pseudomonadota; Betaproteobacteria. The record is from RNAcentral.
GGAAGCGUGGCUGAGCGGUUUAAGGCACUGGUCUUGAAAACCAGCGAUGGGCAACCACCCGUGAGUUCGAAUCUCACCGCUUCCGCCA